Myotis lucifugus (little brown bat) is the source of this 1179-nucleotide RNA transcript. It is a transcript of the gene named transcription initiation protein SPT3 homolog pseudogene, with no coding region annotated. Lineage: Eukaryota; Metazoa; Chordata; Mammalia; Chiroptera; Vespertilionidae. The transcript has a single exon. The record is from RefSeq and is a predicted model, not a curated record.
CAGCGUGUCCCUGCCGCAGCAGCAGAAACCACACCGUCUGCAUCCCCACAUUCUCCACGCGGGACGCGCAGCCUUGCGACAAGUGUUCUUAAAGCAGAGAUGAAUAAUACUGCAGCCAGCCCAAUGUCUACUGCCACUUCAAGUAGUGGAAGAAGUACAGGAAAGUCUGCAAGCUUUGCCUCAGAAUUGCAGAGUAUGAUGUUUUCUUUAGGUGAUUCUAAGAAGCCUCUUCAUGAAACAGCAGUUUUGGUAGAAGAUGUGGUACACACUCAGUUAAUUAAUCUGUUACACCAAGCUGCUGAAGUUUCUCAGCUCCGGGGAGCAAGGGUAGUAUCUCCUGAAGAUCUUCUGUUUUUCAUGCGCAAAGAUAAGAAAAAACUUAGAAGACUGUUAAAAUACAUGUUUUUCCGAGACUACAAAUCAAAGAUUGUCAAAGGCAUAGACGAGGAUGAUCUUCUUGAAGACAAAAUGAGUGGCAGUAAUAAUGCACACAAAAGACAGAAAACCGCACAGGACUUUCUCAACUCUAUUGACCAAACGGGAGAACUCUUGGCGAUGUUUGAAGAUGAUGAAAUUGAUGAAGUUAAACAAGAAAGAAUGGAGAGAGCAGAAAGACAAACUCGAAUUAUGGAUUCAGCCUAAUAUGCAGAAUUCUGUGAAAGUCGACAAUUGAGUUUCUCCAAAAAAGCCUCCAAAUUUCGAGACUGGUUGGACUGUAGCAGUAUGGAGAUAAAACCCAAUGUUAUCGCUAUGGAAAUUUUGGCAUAUUUAGCGUAUGAAACUGUGGCACAGUUAGUGGAUCUGGCUCUACUUGUGAGGCAGGACAUGGGAACCAAGGCAGGAGACCCGUUCGGCCACGCCAUUUCGGCCGCCUUCAUUCAGUAUCACAGCUCUGCCGAGGGAUCUUGCAUGAAGUCCUACCCAGACUCCCCUGAAAAUACACCUCCUCCUACACCAACAGCUCCAUCCUCUGGACCACAGCAUGCAGGGAAAGCCACAGCAGGAUCCCUCGGGAAUGGGAAUGCUGGACAAGACUCAGCAAAAACCAAGCGAAGGAAAAGAAAAAAGAGCACUGCACCUGUGGUGUUGAGGCUCACAGCGAUGCCAUCCAGCCCUGCCACAUCAGAGAGGCCAUUUGGCGCUACGGCCACAAGAUUGGCCCCCUUUCCCCAUUCAUAG